AGCAGCACUGUGUAGCUAAGUCCUGAAUAACAACUUACAUGAGUAGGCCCAUGAAUUGCUUGAAAACGAGCCUAUAUGUAUUAUGAGAUAUGAGGUAGCUUUGGCUACAUAUAUGGCACUUAUGUGCAAGAUUUUUGAGUAUCCGUUAAUAUUCCAAGUGUUCAAUGGGAAAUUCAACGAGGAAUUCAACGGGUAUGUCAAAGAAGAGAAAGAGCAUGUAAGUAUUACGAAUUAGUACAGGUAUGUACAUAAAGUUUAUAAGUAGUGAC
RNAcentral lists this long non-coding RNA (269 nucleotides) under Gossypium barbadense (sea-island cotton). Its description in RNAcentral is "long non-coding RNA (GBAR_LNC012673)". The record is from RNAcentral. Lineage: Eukaryota; Viridiplantae; Streptophyta; Magnoliopsida; Malvales; Malvaceae.